ACUCAGGAAGGAAUAAUCUCAGCACCUACUUCAUGAGGUUUCUGUGAGGACAAAGCAUGAUGAUACAGAAACAAUCUGCCUGGUUCUUUCAUCUCUGCAAAGGAAGUUUCUUUCUGUUCACUACAUGACUAGCUGGAAUUCCACCCAGGAAGACACAGCAUUCCUACCCUCCAGAGGAUUUGACCCUCAAGAUGCCAUCUUGGAAGCAGAAAGCAGCCCUCACCAGAUGUCAGCACCUUGAUCUUGGACUUCCC
Symphalangus syndactylus (siamang) is the source of this 254-nucleotide long non-coding RNA. RefSeq lists it as uncharacterized. NCBI's taxonomy places the organism in Eukaryota, Metazoa, Chordata, Mammalia, Primates, Hylobatidae. The record is from RefSeq and is a predicted model, not a curated record.